Molecule: RNA transcript, 947 nt
Organism: Juglans regia (Persian walnut)
Lineage: Eukaryota; Viridiplantae; Streptophyta; Magnoliopsida; Fagales; Juglandaceae
Exons: 4
Source: RefSeq, a predicted model, not a curated record
GCCCGCGUUCAAAUCUCCCAAAUCUAUUGAUCCCAAUGCAUUAUCUCCCCCAAAUUUCUUCCUCAACGCAGGCAUCUCUCCCAAAUCUCCUUUGCGCGCGAUGACGACGAGAUGGCGAGGCUCCUCUGCCGCGAGGAUGACGGGAUGGCGAGGGUCUCCAUUGCGCGCGACCGCGAGGGUCUCCUCUGUGCGCGACCGCGACGGGAUGGCGAGGGUCUCCUCUGCGUGCGACCGCGACGGUCUCCUCUGCGCACGACAGUGACUGUCUUCUUUGUGUCGACGAUCCCAGGAAGGGAUUGCUUAUGUCAUUGGCAGAGAGUCAGAAGAAUGUCUGUUGUAAAAAUCCCUUUUGCUCAAGUCGGGCUUCUUAUGGCAAUGUUGAGAGGUCAGCUGCAUGAUUAUUUAGCUUGUGCCUCUUCCUUCUAGCUAUCUGUAAUUUGCCUCAACUGCAAUAUGCCUCAGUUGGCACGUGCAAUAAUUUAUUUGGGACUCAAGAGAGUGUUCCCGUUCAGGUUACAUAACUCUUAAUUAGUGCUUUUAAAUUAUAUUGUGUUUUGUUCUUUUUAUUCAUAGGAUUGCUUUUAAAUCAACUAUAAUGCUUAAGAAGUGAGCAGAUUUUUUUGUAAGAUUUCUCAACUAUAUAUAUAAUAUGCCCUUUUUUUUAUCUGUUGUUAGUUGCCCCAAAACACUACCGAAGUGUUGGACUUUAGUGGAAUCCAGAUUGGCACGGCAGAGAUCGAGAUACAAGAAAGUAUGAAACUUGGGGUGGUGGAUGGAACCCAGCCAAAUAGCUUGUCUGGGACACAACUGUGGCUAUAAGUCAAUGUACUUGGAGAAGUUGGUUGGAUAGUUGUUUUAUUUUAGAAUGGAUGGGAAGUUGUUAAAAACAUGUUGAUAUAUUGUCAGAUGUAAAUAUAUUUUUUUUGGGACGAUUGGUGUUAAAUACA